Molecule: ribosomal RNA, 427 nt
Filed under: uncultured bacterium
Lineage: Bacteria
Description: partial 16S ribosomal RNA
Rfam family: Bacterial small subunit ribosomal RNA
Source: RNAcentral
UGGGGAAUAUUGCACAAUGGGCGCAAGCCUGAUGCAGCCAUGCCGCGUGUAUGAAGAAGGCCUUCGGGUUGUAAAGUACUUUCAGCGAGGAGGAAGGCAUUAAGGUUAAUAACCUUGGUGAUUGACGUUACUCGCAGAAGAAGCACCGGCUAACUCCGUGCCAGCAGCCGCGGUAAUACGGAGGGUGCAAGCGUUAAUCGGAAUUACUGGGCGUAAAGCGCACGCAGGCGGUGUGUCAAGUCGGAUGUGAAAUCCCCGGGCUCAACCUGGGAACUGCAUUCGAAACUGGCAGGCUAGAGUCUUGUAGAGGGGGGUAGAAUUCCAGGUGUAGCGGUGAAAUGCGUAGAGAUCUGGAGGAAUACCGGUGGCGAAGGCGGCCCCCUGGACAAAGACUGACGCUCAGGUGCGAAAGCGUGGGGAGCAAACA